This 400-nucleotide ribosomal RNA is filed under the name maize root bacterium ZmrIs4. Its description in RNAcentral is "bacterial SSU rRNA". It matches the Rfam family "Bacterial small subunit ribosomal RNA", at positions 1058 to 1456 of the family's 1533-position model. The record is from RNAcentral.
GCUCGUGUCGUGAGAUGUUGGGUUAAGUCCCGCAACGAGCGCAACCCUCGUUCUAUGUUGCCAGCACGUAAUGGUGGGAACUCAUGGGAUACUGCCGGGGUCAACUCGGAGGAAGGUGGGGAUGACGUCAAAUCAUCAUGCCCCUUAUGUCUUGGGCUUCACGCAUGCUACAAUGGCCGGUACAAAGGGCUGCAAUACCGUAAGGUGGAGCGAAUCCCAAAAAGCCGGUCCCAGUUCGGAUUGAGGUCUGCAACUCGACCUCAUGAAGUCGGAGUCGCUAGUAAUCGCAGAUCAGCAACGCUGCGGUGAAUACGUUCCCGGGUCUUGUACACACCGCCCGUCAAGUCAUGAAAGUCGGUAACACCUGAAGCCGGGGCCCAACCCUUGUGGAGGGAGCCGU